RNAcentral lists this microRNA precursor (103 nucleotides) under Marmota monax (woodchuck). Lineage: Eukaryota; Metazoa; Chordata; Mammalia; Rodentia; Sciuridae. The record is from RNAcentral.
AGUAGGAUAGCUGGGUAAAAUGGUGGUUCCAUUCCAUGUUUUCUAAGGAAUCUCCAUACUACUUUCUAUAAUGGUUGCACCAAUUUGCAGUCCCACCAGUGAU